Molecule: ribosomal RNA, 447 nt
Filed under: uncultured bacterium
Lineage: Bacteria
Description: bacterial SSU rRNA
Rfam family: Bacterial small subunit ribosomal RNA
Source: RNAcentral
UGGGGAAUCUUGCGCAAUGGGCGAAAGCCUGACGCAGCCAUGCCGCGUGUAUGAUGAAGGUCUUAGGAUUGUAAAAUACUUUCACCGGUGAAGAUAAUGACUGUAGCCGGAGAAGAAGCCCCGGCUAACUUCGUGCCAGCAGCCGCGGUAAUACGAAGGGGGCUAGCGUUGCUCGGAAUUACUGGGCGUAAAGGGAGCGUAGGCGGACAUUUAAGUCAGAGGUGAAAUCCCGGAGCUUAACUUCGGAACUGCCUUUGAUACUGGGUGUCUUGAGUGUGAGAGAGGUAUGUGGAACUCCGAGUGUAGAGGUGAAAUUCGUAGAUAUUCGGAAGAACACCAGUGGCGAAGGCGACAUACUGGCUCAUUACUGACGCUGAGGCUCGAAAGCGUGGGGAGCAAACAGGAUUAGAUACCCAUGUAGUCCCUGAGCGGGCUGGCAAGGCGCAU